AGGCUCCGCCCCCAUUCCCAUCCCCCCAUCCCCCAAGCCCUUCUUUAGUCAACUGAGGACCCAGGCAGGGAACGGUGGAGAAUCAAGGAGAAGGAGGCGGCCUCUGCCCCAUUUCAUCGCUAAGCUGGCAAACCAGCCUCCCCAGUGGGGUUGGGCAGUGGAGCUCGUCACAUCCCCGCGGCUAAGGUCAUUCACACAUUCACGGAGCCCUUCCCUCACAGUCAAUGGGGGUGGAACCAUCCAAAACAAUGGUGUUUACUUCUUUUCUUUCCAUUAAGUUUCCCGUUUCCUAUUAAGUUUCAGGCGGUAAAGUCCAGAGGUCAAAAGCAUUCAAUGCCCAUCUCCGGAAGGAAGGGGGGAGUCUGGAGAUUCUCCUCUGGCCCGAGACCGACCGAGGGGCUUGUUUGGGGCUUAAUGGUCCAAAUGGGUCUUGUAUUCUAAUAGGAAAUGACUGGAUACGCUUUAAAUGCACUCCCUUUCCCCUUCGGAGAGGAGAAAACCGAAAUGGACCCGCAGCUAAAGAUCCUCACCACACCGGAAGGCCAGCAGAAUAGAAUGUUCCCAUUUUACAGAUGAGGAAACUUUGUCUCAAUGACUGCUCCUUGGUCACAGUCCAGUGAAGGGUGAAAUGAACAAGAACUUAUUAAAAGUCUCCUAGGGACUGGACCCUAUGCCAAGCACUUCAUGACAUCCGCACAACACAACCUGGGAGGGUGACAGGAAGAAUAAAAGAGAAGAAUGCACAGGAAAGUGCUUUAUAAAAACAUUUCUACUUCCUAACUUUCUUUGCUGAGGGGAUGGACUAUAGAUGUGGAAUAUUCCCUGUGCUUUGAGAAACAAUUACUCAUUUUACAUAUGAGGAAAAUAAGGAAAACAAGGUCAAGAGACUUGCCCAGGGUCAUACAACUAGCAAGUGGCUGAGGUCAGAUUUGAACUCAGGAAGAUGAGUUUUCAGGACUCCAAGGCUGGUUCUCUAUCCAUUUCACUGCCAAGCUACCUUCCUCCACAGACUACCUCCUGACAAGUAGUCAUUCAGUUUGUUUUUCUGCCCCAAGACCUCCAAUGAGGGGGAGCCCAUCACUUCCCUGGUCAACCCACUCUAUUUUUUCCAUUUCUUUUCCAAAACAGCCCAAGUCUGCGCCUCUGCAACUUCUACCGGCUGCCUGUGGUGCCCAGUUCUGGGGCAGUGAAAGGGAUGGGGAAGGGGAGGGAGGUCUGGAUACAAGCAGAAAAGGUUAUUGUCUUCAAAUGCUGGAAGGCGCUCUUCUAUCCUUCUACCCCUCUUCACCUUCUCCAGACUAAACAGUCUCUGGUUCCUUCCACAGAUCCAUCCUCAGGGCCUUCUUCUCCAUCCUGGUUGCCCUCUCCGGGCGAUUUUUCCAGUUUGUGCAUCCAUUUCCUUGUAUAAAGUACCCACCCAGCUUUCUGCCUGAGCGUUAGAAAUGGAGAUUUCACGUUAUUUGGGACGUCUUGGACCUCUCCUUCCCAGUCCAAUCAUUUUUGCUCGCUGCCUGGGGUUCCUUACCAAUCUGGACAGCUCUGGGGUGGGGGAGGGGGCGGAUACUCCCCACCCCCACUCCUUCCCCGAGGUCCUGGGGUCUGGCAUCUGUUGAGGGUGGAAAUGGGGCAACAGGUGAAUAGGGGCAGGGGGCGUGUUCUGUUUGGGGAGGGCGGCGGGCCCGGCGGCUGGGGGAGCGCUGAGUCAGCAGAGGGAAAAGUGCGGACCGGGGCAGGGCGGGCCCCAAGUCCUCACAUGCUCCAACGCCGGGAAUGUUAAUCAGAACCACGUUGUCCCUGCCCCCACCCCAGCCUUGUUUGGGUGGCUUCCUGCCUGCGUUUUCUGCCCUUUUUGCAUCUCCGGGCAGGACCCGGGCGGACCCUGGAAGGCUGUUUUUGUUUGCUUGUUUGUUUUUAGUGAAGGAAAGGAAAACCCUUUCCAAAGGCACAGCCCUGGAGUGCUGGCAGGGCGGGGAGAGGAACCUGGCACAAAGGAAGGCAGGCUCUCUGAGAGUCAUCCUGGCACUCGGGACAGGUCUAGGCAAAGCCUGAUCACCCCACUGGUUCGAUUUCUGUUGGGGAAGGCGCCCUGUGCCCACAGAGCCAAGGCAGGGGAGACCAGAUCGCGGCCUUCCUUCCGAAGGCAUCCCCUCCCCACCUCAGGUGGUUCCGGUCUGUCUGCUAUGGGGCCUGGGUUCCUUGAGCAGGUUUGUGCGCUGGGAUGAUGGGGUCGGGCUCAGGAGAGGUGACCCCUGCCGUGUCAGCCUCCAUAACCGCGCUCCACCCCAUCCUGAGCAUCUUGAGCAAGUUACCACCUCCAGGGGCCUUAGUCUCCCCAUCUGUCAAAAGAGGCCCUUUCCGGCUCUAAAUUCGAGGUAUGCACUGGAGAGGACUUCUGUAAUUAGCCAGCCUCCUGGGUGCGUGAUAGAGGCACAGAGAAGAGGGUGUUGAUUCUUGUCCCUGCGUGUCCCCGCAGAGAAGGGGGGAGGGAGAAAAGUGAAUGUGUGCCAUCUCCUCCAGUCUUAGAAUUCCGAGAUCAAAGAUCUCGGGUCGGGUUUGUCUACGUGUGUUUCUGGGUGGGUGAAGACGUGUGCUUUGUCGAUGUGUCAGAGUGAGUGAGUGGUUAAGGGAGGGAGGGCAUCGACAACCUAGCGAUUGGCUGACCCCAAAGGGAAGGGGCAGGCUGGUGCCGGGGACUCCUCCCAUAAGCCAGUGAAGUCCUCUCGAUCUAUCCCUGGCGUUGGACAAUCCCUAGGAAUGGGGGGGAGGGGGAAGCAGGAACCGGGAGUCCGUCCUUCUGUCCUUCCAUCAUCCUGUCUGGCCCUCUCCCAUCCCCCUCACCACCCCCCCGCCCGGAGCCACGUGGUAGGAUGGGGGGGGUGCCCUAAAGACCCACACUCAGCAUCCUCCUUUCAAUUCUGCUCAACAGCUGGGGGGCCCCUCCCCGCUCAGCCCUCUCCGCAGCUCCCUCCCUGGUCCCUGUCCUCCCUCCCCGCCCCCAGCCGGGGCCCCCGGGAGAGAGAAAGAUAGAGGCCCCUCAUUGUUUUCCACUGAGAGCCACAGAAAGGCCGAUGGGGCCAGUGCCUCAGUCCCCAGGGCUCGGCACAUCUGUCUCCGCCACGUGACUGGGCCCUGGAGCCGGCCAGCAGGAUGACCUCAUUGCCACCGGCCCACCCCGCCCCCACCCCUGCUCGGCGCCGGCAGAAGUGCGGACCAGAAGGGGGGAGGGAGGAGGAGAGGCGUGGAGCGUUUAUUAACCAUCAUGUGCCAGGAACUGUGCUGAGCGCGCACGGCGGUGGGUGGAUUUCUUGGAAAAUCCCAAAUGAUUUAAUUUUGAAGUGGGGCUGCCGGGAAUCACUCCAGAAGCUCCUGGCUCCCUUCUGGAACCAUUAUACUCGCCCUCUCCCAUCCUGGGUCCCACGUUCCGCCAGAAAUCCACCCCCUUAUUUCAUGAGGUAAAAAACAAGGAGCCCCAGGAAGUGAAAUGACUUACCCACGAUCACCUAGGGGAUGAGCCGAAACCAAGUCCAGUGACCCCAGAUCCAAGGGUCCUUUUGUGCUACGUAUGGAGGCUCGGCACGGGGUCCCCCCUCGAUCCCGCAAACACACGGAGCCUCGGGAAGCCUCCCCCAUCCUCCCCAGAGGAAAGGCUGAACUCUUUCCUCAGGGUAGCUGAAUGCAAUGAACGCCUGGCGUACUUUUAACUGUUUCUCUUGUGACCCCAGCUGAGUUAGUGUUAGUUUUAUUUUCGUUAUUAUUAAUAAAUCUUAUAAUACUUGA
This is a long non-coding RNA of Monodelphis domestica (gray short-tailed opossum), 3777 nucleotides long. RefSeq lists it as uncharacterized. The record is from RefSeq and is a predicted model, not a curated record. Lineage: Eukaryota; Metazoa; Chordata; Mammalia; Didelphimorphia; Didelphidae.